RNAcentral lists this ribosomal RNA (271 nucleotides) under uncultured prokaryote. Its description in RNAcentral is "partial 16S ribosomal RNA". It matches the Rfam family "Bacterial small subunit ribosomal RNA", at positions 524 to 794 of the family's 1533-position model. The record is from RNAcentral.
UACGUAGGAUCCGAGCGUUAUCCGGAUUUAUUGGGUUUAAAGGGUGCGCAGGCGGGAGAUUAAGUCGGCGGUGAAAUUUUGCAGCUCAACUGUAAAAGUGCCUUCGAAACUGGUUUCCUUGAGUGUGGAUGAAGUAGGCGGAAUUUGGGGUGUAGCGGUGAAAUGCAUAGAUAUCACGAGGAACUCCGAUUGCGCAGGCAGCUUACUAAACCAUAACUGACGCUCAGGCACGAAGGCGUGGGGAUCAAACAGGAUUAGAUACCCUGGUAGU